Molecule: long non-coding RNA, 537 nt
Organism: Papaver somniferum (opium poppy)
Lineage: Eukaryota; Viridiplantae; Streptophyta; Magnoliopsida; Ranunculales; Papaveraceae
Exons: 3
Source: RefSeq, a predicted model, not a curated record
AGGAACUAUCGUACGUCUUCUUUGUAUCCAAGAUGAUCUUCGAUCCCUUUUAAAAAUUACUCUGGUAGGAAGUUUUUCUCGGGCCAAGUAUAGUAUGGUCCCUAUUUGGGGCAGCAAUUGCUUGUUGGACGAAUGGCUAUCCGGCUGAGACGAUCUGUGUUGCUGAUUCCGUAAUUUUCACGGGUGGAACGAUGAUUAAUGUGAUUAUUGUCCGCGGAUAUGAUGAUGCCCAGCUCUUUAUUGCAAAGUUAUUUGUUGGAGUUGGGAUUGGAAUGAUUUCCAUGGCUUGUCCUCGUUAUUACAUAUCCCACGGUUUCACAUCGACAAGAAUAAGAGGUUCCCUUGUUAGAUUACAUUGCUUUUGCUUUGCAAUUGGGAAAUGUUUGUCUCUCAGUUAUGGUCUAUUUGCAACGACUCAGAUUAUAUUAAAAGAAGAAACCAAACAUCACCGGGAAGAGGAGAUCUCAACAGGACGAAUCGAUCAUCCCAGCCAUGGUUAAGUUCAACUGGCUCCAAAUCGUUGGUAAGAUAGUGCAG